GCCCAGGGUUUAUUGUUUGGGGUUUUUUUUAUUUGGCCCUGGUUUUUUUUGGUUUUUUUUUUUUAAAUGGCUAGCUGUAGCUGGAGUACUGGUAUUCCUAGAUGGAAUCAAGAUCUCUGGAGUUGUUAAGCUCUUGCUCUGCAUCCAGGCUGACUCGUUCAAUAUGGUUUUUUUUCAGAUGCGGAGAGAGAGACAAGAUGCAUGCCCCAGAGCGACGGAGGAGGGGAGCGGAGUGCCGUAAGGAGGUGCGAAGCAAGGAACGAUGUGGGCUAUCGGCACCGGAGGUGACUUGGGCAAGGCGGUACGCAUGCCUUGACGUGGCAAGCUCUUGAUGACAGAGCGGGGUGGUCGAGCGGCCAAGGUGGUGCACGCAGCCUCAGAGGAGCCAUGCCGCAGGCCAAUGAGGAGUUUGAGAAGGCGCUGUGCGGGCCACCUUUGGAAUGGGAUGAGCAUUUGAGGUACCAUGAGAGAUGAUGGCUGCAGGGUGUGACUCUGGAAUGAGCAGGUAAGUGUAACACUGUGGUGUGUGUGAUUAAGCGGGGGGGUUGGGAAAGUAGUUGGUGUUGUUGGUGUUAGCUGAUGGGUUACUUACUGCCUCUACUGAUUUUGUUGCUGGUGGGUUUUUUUUGGUUUUUUUUUGUCUUCACUGCAGAUGAUGAAGAGGAACCUGGCGACUGCUGGAUCAUCCCAGUUAGCCCAUGUGAUUUUUGCGGAGGAUGGACUCGUAGCCUUGGCCCUCUGAAAGUUAAGUUGAGGGGACCCGGGCUGGGGAGACGCUGGGAGGAAGGGACAGAGCUGGGAAUUGUAGGGAGGGGGUUUAAAGUUAGAGUA
This is a long non-coding RNA of Aquila chrysaetos chrysaetos, 831 nucleotides long. RefSeq lists it as uncharacterized. The record is from RefSeq and is a predicted model, not a curated record. The transcript has 9 exons. NCBI's taxonomy places the organism in Eukaryota, Metazoa, Chordata, Aves, Accipitriformes, Accipitridae.